RNAcentral lists this ribosomal RNA (467 nucleotides) under uncultured Cellulomonas sp. Its description in RNAcentral is "bacterial SSU rRNA". It matches the Rfam family "Bacterial small subunit ribosomal RNA", at positions 916 to 1381 of the family's 1533-position model. Lineage: Bacteria; Bacillati; Actinomycetota; Actinomycetes; Micrococcales; Cellulomonadaceae. The record is from RNAcentral.
GACGGGGCCCGCACAAGCGGCGGAGCAUGCGGAUUAAUUCGAUGCAACGCGAAGAACCUUACAAGGCUUGACAUACACCGGUAACGCCCAGAGAUGGGUGCCCCCUUGUGGUCGGUGUACAGGUGGUGCAUGGUUGUCGUCAGCUCGUGUCGUGAGAUGUUGGGUUAAGUCCCGCAACGAGCGCAACCCUCGUCCUAUGUUGCCAGCGGGUCAUGCCGGGGACUCAUGGGAGACUGCCGGGGUCAACUCGGAGGAAGGUGGGAUGACGUCAAAUCAUCAUGCCCCUUAUGUCUUGGGCUUCACGCAUGCUACAAUGGCCGGUACAAAGGGCUGCGAUACCGCGAGGUGGAGCGAAUCCCAGAAAGCCAGUCUCAGUUCGGAUUGGGGUCUGCAACUCGACCCCAUGAAGUCGGAGUCGCUAGUAAUCGCAGAUCAGCAACGCUGCGGUGAAUACGUUCCCGGGCCUU